CCUACGGAGGCUGCAGUGAGGAAUAUUUGUCAAUGGGCGUAAGCCUGAACCAGCCAAGUCGCGUGAGGGAUGAAGGUUCUUUGGAUCUUAAACCUCUUUUAUAAGGGAAUAAAGUGUGGGACGUGUCCUAUUUUGUAUGUACCUUAUGAAUAAGGAUCGGCUAACUCCGUGCCAGCAGCCGCGGUAAUACGGAGGAUCCGAGCGUUAUCCGGAUUUAUUGGGUUUAAAGGGUGCGUAGGCGGCCUUUGAAGUCAGCGGGGAAAGUCUGUGGCUCAACCAUAGAAUUGCCGUUGAAACUGGGGGGCUUGAGUAUGUUUGAGGCAGGCGGAAUGCGUGGUGUAGCGGUGAAAUGCUUAGAUAUCACGCAGAACCCCGAUUGCGAAGGCAGCCUGCCAAGCCAUGACUGACGCUGAUGCACGAAAGCGUGGGGAGCAAACAGGAUUAGAUACCCUUGUAGUC
RNAcentral lists this ribosomal RNA (459 nucleotides) under uncultured bacterium. RNAcentral's name for it is "partial 16S ribosomal RNA". It matches the Rfam family "Bacterial small subunit ribosomal RNA", at positions 338 to 795 of the family's 1533-position model. The record is from RNAcentral.